This 273-nucleotide long non-coding RNA is filed under the name Lathyrus oleraceus (garden pea). Its description in RNAcentral is "Pisum sativum (pea) long non-coding RNA (PSAT_LNC011477)". Lineage: Eukaryota; Viridiplantae; Streptophyta; Magnoliopsida; Fabales; Fabaceae. The record is from RNAcentral.
GAAGAUGCUAAUAAAGAAGGUUAUGAUGCGAGUGAUGAUGAAGAUACAACCAGCGGUGAUAAAGACUGAAGUUAUUUGUGUCUUCUGUGGAUUUUUUUUGUGCUUCUGGCUGUUUUUUUUUUCUAUAUGUGGUUUAUGCCCUGAAUAUUUAUGCACUUUGUGUUUUCUUGGUCUGUAACUUAACUAUUUGAUUGCUCUGUUACAUCUAUUUUGACUUGCUUAACAUUGAUGUGUGUCAAUCUUUUGGCUAAAUAUGGGGAGUAAUGGAUGUUG